RNAcentral lists this ribosomal RNA (292 nucleotides) under uncultured bacterium. RNAcentral describes it as "partial 16S ribosomal RNA". It matches the Rfam family "Bacterial small subunit ribosomal RNA", at positions 505 to 796 of the family's 1533-position model. The record is from RNAcentral.
GUGUCAGCAGCCGCGGUAAGACGUAGGGGGCCAGCGUUGUUCGGAAUUACUGGGUGUAAAGGGUUCGUAGGCGGUGUGGUAAGUCGGAAGUGAAAUCUCUGGGCUUAACUCAGAGGCUGCUUUCGAAACUGCCGCGCUAGAGUGCGGGGGAGGCGAGUGGAAUUACAGGUGUAGCGGUGAAAUGCGUAGAUAUCUGUAGGAACACCCGUGGCGAAGGCGGCUCGCUGGACCGCAACUGACGCCGAGGAACGAAAGCUAGGGGAGCAAACAGGAUUAGAUACCCUGGUAGUCC